UCAAAAAAAAUUCUACAAAAUUAGCAUGUACUAAUACACACAAAAUAUAUAUAUAUAUAUAUAAUUACAAAUUCAUAUUGCAUGACCUCAAAGCGCCAUAAAAUGAACCCGAAAGUAAUAGCGAAGCAAUGAGUUUUUGUCACUAGCUCAUUUUCUAUGGACCGACGAAAUUCAGGUCAAUCAACGUCCGUCAAAAAAAUUCAACAAAAUCGCAUAGUAUACACACGAAAAAAUGUAUAUAUUCAUAAAUUCGUAUUACAUGACCAUGAAACAACACAAAAUGAACCCGAAAGUCAUGGAAAAGCAAUGAGUAUUGGUCACAAUGUCAUUUCCUAUAAACCUGCAAAAAUUCAAGCCAAUCGGAGUCCGUCAAAAAAACUUCUACAAAAUCAGCAUGCACUAAUAUCCACAAAAAAGUGGAUAUAAUCAUCAGUUCGUAUUGCAUGACCAUGAAUCGCCAUAAAAUGAACCCGAAGUCAUGGUGACGCAAUGAAUAUAUGCCACUAGGUCGUUUCCUAUAAACCUAUGAAAAUAUAGGCUAAUCAAAGUCCAUCAAAAAACUUAUACAAAGUCAACAUGUACUAAUAUGCGCGAAAAAAGUGGAUAUAACCACAAAUUUGUUUUGCCUGACCUCGAAACGCAAUAAAAUGAACUCGAAAGUCAUGGCAAAGCAAUGAAUAUUGAU
RNAcentral lists this long non-coding RNA (685 nucleotides) under Nicotiana tabacum (common tobacco). Its description in RNAcentral is "long non-coding RNA (NTAB_LNC004382)". Lineage: Eukaryota; Viridiplantae; Streptophyta; Magnoliopsida; Solanales; Solanaceae. The record is from RNAcentral.